GACGAACGCUGGCGGCGUGCCUAAUACAUGCAAGUCGAACGCUUCUUUCCUCCCGAGUGCUUGCACUCAAUUGGAAAGAGGAGUGGCGGACGGGUGAGUAACACGUGGGUAACCUACCCAUCAGAGGGGGAUAACACUUGGAAACAGGUGCUAAUACCGCAUAACAGUUUAUGCCGCAUGGCAUAAGAGUGAAAGGCGCUUUCGGGUGUCGCUGAUGGAUGGACCCGCGGUGCAUUAGCUAGUUGGUGAGGUAACGGCUCACCAAGGCCACGAUGCAUAGCCGACCUGAGAGGGUGAUCGGCCACACUGGGACUGAGACACGGCCCAGACUCCUACGGGAGGCAGCAGUAGGGAAUCUUCGGCAAUGGACGGAAGUCUGACCGAGCAACGCCGCGUGAGUGAAGAAGGUUUUCGGAUCGUAAAACUCUGUUGUUAGAGAAGAACAAGGACGUUAGUAACUGAACGUCCCCUGACGGUAUCUAACCAGAAAGCCACGGCUAACUACGUGCCAGCCGCCGCCGUAA
This 524-nucleotide ribosomal RNA is filed under the name uncultured bacterium. RNAcentral's name for it is "partial 16S ribosomal RNA". It matches the Rfam family "Bacterial small subunit ribosomal RNA", at positions 28 to 523 of the family's 1533-position model. The record is from RNAcentral.